This 74-nucleotide transfer RNA is filed under the name Clostridia bacterium. Its description in RNAcentral is "tRNA-Asp". It matches the Rfam family "tRNA". Rfam says of the family: Transfer RNA (tRNA) molecules are approximately 80 nucleotides in length. Lineage: Bacteria; Bacillati; Bacillota; Clostridia. The record is from RNAcentral.
AGUUCCGUGGAGUAGCGGCUUAUCUCGUAGCACUGUCACUGCUAAGAUCGCGGGUUCGAAUCCCGUCGGAACUG